GACGUAGGAGGCGAGCGUUAUCCGGAUUUAUUGGGCGUAAAGGGCAAGUAGGCGGUUGUCAAAGUUGGGCGUGACAACUCCCGGCUCAACUGGGAGGGUGCGUUCAAAACUAGGCAACUAGAGGGCAGGAGAGGGAAGUGGAAUUCCCAGUGUAGCGGUGGAAUGCUCAGAUAUUGGGAAGAACACCAGUGGCGAAGGCGGCUUCCUGGCCUGCACCUGACGCUGAGAGGCGAAAGCUAGGGUAGCAAACGGGCUUAGAUACC
Molecule: ribosomal RNA, 263 nt
Filed under: uncultured bacterium
Lineage: Bacteria
Description: partial 16S ribosomal RNA
Rfam family: Bacterial small subunit ribosomal RNA
Source: RNAcentral